RNAcentral lists this ribosomal RNA (253 nucleotides) under uncultured bacterium. Its description in RNAcentral is "partial 16S ribosomal RNA". It matches the Rfam family "Bacterial small subunit ribosomal RNA", at positions 524 to 776 of the family's 1533-position model. The record is from RNAcentral.
UACGUAGGGUGCAGGCGUUAAUCGGAAUUACUGGGCGUAAAGCGUGCGUAGGUGGUUCGUUGUGUCUGUGGUGAAAGCCCCGGGCUUAACCUGGGAAUGGCCAUGGAAACUGGCGAGCUGGAGUCUGGCAGAGGGGGGUGGAAUUCCGCGUGUAGCAGUGAAAUGCGUAGAGAUGCGGAGGAACACCGAUGGCGAAGGCAGCCCCCUGGGCUAAGACUGACGCUGAGGCACGAAAGCGUGGGGAGCAAACAGG